Molecule: ribosomal RNA, 1206 nt
Filed under: uncultured Enterobacteriaceae bacterium
Lineage: Bacteria; Pseudomonadati; Pseudomonadota; Gammaproteobacteria; Enterobacterales; Enterobacteriaceae
Description: bacterial SSU rRNA
Rfam family: Bacterial small subunit ribosomal RNA
Source: RNAcentral
UAGAGUCUGAUCCUGGCUCAGAUUGAACGCUGGCGGCAGGCCUAACACAUGCAAGUCGGACGGCAGCGGGAGGAAGCUUGCUUCCUUGCCGGCGAGUGGCGGACGGGUGAGUAAUAUCUGGGGAUCUGCCUGAUGGAGGGGGAUAACCACUGGAAACGGUGGCUAAUACCGCAUGAAGUCGCGAGACCAAAGCGGGGGACCUUCGGGCCCCGCGCUAUCAGAUGAACCCAGACGGGAUUAGCUGGAAGGUGGGGUAACGGCUCACCUUGGCGACGAUCCCUAGCUGGUCUGAGAGGAUGGUCAGCCACACUGGGACUGAGACACGGCCCAGACUCCUGCGGGAGGCAGCAGUGGGGAAUAUUGCACAAUGGGGGAAACCCUGAUGCAGCCAUGCCGCGUGUAUGAAGAAGGCCUUCGGGUUGUAAAGUACUUUCAGCAGGGAGGAAGGGGUGAGGAGUAACAUGCCUUGCCAUUGACGUUACCUGCAGAAGAAGCACCGGCUAACUCCGUGCCAGCAGCCGCGGUAAUACGGAGGGUGCGAGCGUUAAUCGGAAUUACUGGGCGUAAAGGGCACGCAGGCGGUUAAUUAAGCCGAAUGUGAAAUCCCCGGGCUCAACCCGGGAACUGCAUUCGGAACUGGUUGACUGGAGUUCUGUAGAGGGGGGUGGAAUUCCACGUGUAGCGGUGAAAUGCGUAGAGAUGUGGAGGAACACCAGUGGCGAAGGCGGCCCCCUGGACAGAGACUGACGCUCAAGUGCGAAAGCGUGGGGAGCAAACAGGAUUAGAUACCCUGGUAGUCCACGCUGUAAACGAUGUCGAUUUAAAGGCUGUGGUCAUGAACUGUGGCUUUUGGAGCAAACGCGUUAAAUCGACCGCCUGGGGAGUACGGCCGCAAGGUUAAAACUCAAAUGAAUUGACGGGGGCCCGCACAAGCGGUGGAGCAUGUGGUUUAAUUCGAUGCAACGCGAAGAACCUUACCUGGUCUUGACAUCCACAGAAGACUGCAGAGAUGCGGUUGUGCCUUCGGACUGUGAGACAGGUGCUGCAUGGCUGUCGUCAGCUCGUGUGUGAAAUGUUGGGUUAGUCCCGCACCGAGCGCACCCUUGUCUUGUUGCAGCGCGUGAGCGUACUCAGGGAGACUUGCCGUGAUUACGAGAAGGUGGACGACGUCAGGUCAUUCAUGGCCUUACGAACACAGGGCUUCAC